UGGGGAAUAUUGGACAAUGGGCGAAAGCCUGAUCCAGCCAUGCCGCGUGUGUGAAGAAGGUCUUCGGAUUGUAAAGCACUUUAAGUUGGGAGGAAGGGCAGUAAGCGAAUACCUUGCUGUUUUGACGUUACCGACAGAAUAAGCACCGGCUAACUCUGUGCCAGCAGCCGCGGUAAUACAGAGGGUGCAAGCGUUAAUCGGAAUUACUGGGCGUAAAGCGCGCGUAGGUGGUUCGUUAAGUUGAAUGUGAAAGCCCCGGGCUCAACCUGGGAACUGCAUCCAAAACUGGCGGGCUAGAGUAGGGCAGAGGGAGGUGGAAUUUCCUGUGUAGCGGUGAAAUGCGUAGAUAUAGGAAGGAACACCAGUGGCGAAGGCGACCACCUGGGCUCAUACUGACACUGAGGUGCGAAAGCGUGGGGAGCAAACAGG
Molecule: ribosomal RNA, 429 nt
Filed under: Pseudomonadota bacterium
Lineage: Bacteria; Pseudomonadati; Pseudomonadota
Description: Proteobacteria bacterium partial 16S ribosomal RNA
Rfam family: Bacterial small subunit ribosomal RNA
Source: RNAcentral